UCGAGAAUAUUUCGCAAUGGGCGAAAGCCUGACGAAGCGACGCCGUGUGAAUGAUGAAGGCCUUCGGGUUGUAAAGUUCUGUUACCCGAGAACAAGAGUAUGUAGUGAAUAGCUAGGUACAAUGAGUGUAUCGGGGGAGAAAGCACCGGCUAAUUCCGUGCCAGCAGCUGCGGUAAUACGGAAGGUGCAAGCGUUAGUCGGAAUUACUGGGCGUAAAGGGUGCGUAGGCGGGAGCGUACGUCAGAUGUGAAAUUCCGGGGCUCAACCCCGGAGCUGCCUCUGAAACGGCGCUUCUUGAGGACUUGCGGAGAGAAUGGAAUUCCAUGUGUAGCGGUGAAAUGCGUAGAUAUAUGGAAGAACACCAGUGGCGAAAGCGAUUCUCUAGCAUAAUCCUGACGCUAAGGCACGAGAGCAAGGGGAGCAAACAGG
RNAcentral lists this ribosomal RNA (429 nucleotides) under uncultured bacterium. Its description in RNAcentral is "bacterial SSU rRNA". It matches the Rfam family "Bacterial small subunit ribosomal RNA", at positions 355 to 776 of the family's 1533-position model. The record is from RNAcentral.